AAUAGAUACCCGGGUAGUCCACGCCGUAAACGAUGAGUGCUAAGUGUUAGAGGGUUUCCGCCCUUUAGUGCUGCAGCUAACGCAUUAAGCACUCCGCCUGGGGAGUACGGUCGCAAGACUGAAACUCAAAGGAAUUGACGGGGGCCCGCACAAGCGGUGGAGCAUGUGGUUUAAUUCGAAGCAACGCGAAGAACCUUACCAGGUCUUGACAUCCCACUGACCGGUAUAGAGAUAUACCUUUCCCUUCGGGGACAGUGGUGACAGGCAGUGCAUGGUUGUCGUCAGCUCGUGUCGUGAGAUGUUGGGUUAAGUCCCGCAACGAGCGCAACCCUUGAUCUUAGUUGCCAGCAUUUAGUUGGGCACUCUAAGGUGACUGCCGGUGACAAACCGGAGGAAGGUGGGGAUGACGUCAAAUCAUCAUGCCCCUUAUGACCUGGGCUACACACGUGCUACAAUGGAUGGUACAAAGGGCUGCAAGACUGCGAAGUCAAGCCAAUCCCAUAAAACCAUUCUCAGUUCGGAUUGC
RNAcentral lists this ribosomal RNA (526 nucleotides) under uncultured bacterium. RNAcentral describes it as "bacterial SSU rRNA". It matches the Rfam family "Bacterial small subunit ribosomal RNA", at positions 777 to 1301 of the family's 1533-position model. The record is from RNAcentral.